This 460-nucleotide ribosomal RNA is filed under the name uncultured bacterium. Its description in RNAcentral is "partial 16S ribosomal RNA". It matches the Rfam family "Bacterial small subunit ribosomal RNA", at positions 338 to 795 of the family's 1533-position model. The record is from RNAcentral.
CCUACGGGCGGCAGCAGUGAGGAAUAUUGGUCAAUGGGCUUACGCCUGAACCAGCCAAGUCGCGUGAGGGAAGACUGCCCUAUGGGUUGUAAACCUCUUUUGUCAGGGAGCAACGCCGGCUACGUGUAGCCGGACUGAGAGUACCUGAAGAAAAAGCAUCGGCGAACUCCGUGCCAGCAGCCGCGGUAAUACGGAGGAUGCGAGCGUUAUCCGGAUUUAUGGGGUUUAACGGGUGCGUAGGCGGACUGCCAAGUCAGCGGUAAAAUCGCGGGGCUCAACCUCGCUCCGCCGUUGAAACUGGCGUUCUUGAGUGGGCGAGAAGUAUGCGGAAUGCGUGGUGUAGCGGUGAAAUGCAUAGAUAUCACGCAGAACUCCGAUUGCGAAGGCAGCAUACCGGCGCCCAACUGACGCUGAAGCACGAAAGCGUGGGUAUCGAACAGGAUUAGAUACCCGGGUAGUC